GCAGGAUUUACCCCCGGGCUCUGAUCUGAGAGGACUUCAGUACCGUUCCAAUAGCAGCUCUGACUGAUGACGAAGUGGACAACAAAGACUCUGGGGACUAAAGUGAGGGAUUUGAACGUCAGCCACUAGCACCAUCUGGCUCCCUUGUCACUCAGAGCCAAGAUGUCCGGUCGAACUGCAUGCUGGAGGGACACGUGUCACAGGCCACCUGACAAAGAUGUUUAAUAACAGACAAACACCUCCGUAUUCCCAGAUUAAUGAGGACUUUCUAGCACGUCCUCUUCAACUUUAUUUCCCUCAGACGACUCCGC
Molecule: long non-coding RNA, 311 nt
Organism: Gasterosteus aculeatus aculeatus (three-spined stickleback)
Lineage: Eukaryota; Metazoa; Chordata; Actinopteri; Perciformes; Gasterosteidae
Source: Ensembl